Molecule: ribosomal RNA, 497 nt
Filed under: uncultured bacterium
Lineage: Bacteria
Description: partial 16S ribosomal RNA
Rfam family: Bacterial small subunit ribosomal RNA
Source: RNAcentral
GAUGAACGCUGGCGGCGUGCCUAAUACAUGCAAGUCGAGCGAACAGACGCGGCUCUUGCUCCUCUGACGUUAGCGGCGGGCGUGUGAGUAACACGUGGAUACCCUCCCUAUCAGACUGGUAUAACUUCGGGAAACCGGCGCUAAUCCCGGAUAAUCUCUUGCACCGCAUGGUUCAAUAGUGAAAGACGGUUUUGCUGUCUCUUAUCGCUGGAUCCGCGCCGCAUUAGCUAGUUGUGAAGGUAACGGCUUACCACGGCAACGAGGCGUAAACGACCUGAGAGGGGGGUAGGCGACAUGGGAACUUAGACACGGUCCAUGCGACUACGGGAGGGACCAGUAGGGAACCGUCCGCAGCGGGCGAAAGCAUGACGGAGCAACGCCGCGCGAGAGAUGAAGGUCUCCGGAGCGGAAAACUGUGUUAUGAGUGAAGAACAAAUGUGGAAGUAACUAUGCACGGAUUGACGGUACCGAAUCAGAAAGCCACGGCUAACUACGUG